Amblyraja radiata (thorny skate) is the source of this 177-nucleotide long non-coding RNA. RefSeq lists it as uncharacterized. The record is from RefSeq and is a predicted model, not a curated record. The transcript has 3 exons. NCBI's taxonomy places the organism in Eukaryota, Metazoa, Chordata, Chondrichthyes, Rajiformes, Rajidae.
UUUCCACUAGCGGGAGAGUCUAGGACUAGAGGUCAUAGCCUCAGAAUUAAAGGACGCAUCUUUACCAAGGAGAUGAGGCGGAAUUUCUUUAGUCAGUGUGUGGUGAAUCCUGUGGAAUUCAUUGCCACAGAAGGCUGCGGAGGCCAGGUCAAUGGGUAUUUUUAAGGCGGAGAUUGA